RNAcentral lists this long non-coding RNA (356 nucleotides) under Physcomitrium patens. RNAcentral describes it as "long non-coding RNA (PPAT_LNC012176)". The record is from RNAcentral. Lineage: Eukaryota; Viridiplantae; Streptophyta; Bryopsida; Funariales; Funariaceae.
UAAUUAAAUCUUAAACCCUAAUAAUUCCUAAUUCCUAAGUCAAAUCCUAGACAAAUCUUAAAUUAAACCCUAUUCCAAACCCUAAACCCUAAACCAAAUCCUAAAUCAAAUCCUAAAUCAAACCCUAAUCCAACCCUAAACCCUAAAUCCUAAACCAAACCUUAAAUAAAAUCUUAACCAAAUCCUAAUCCAAACCCUAAAUCCAACCCUAACCAAAUCCUAAACCCUAAUCCAAACCCUAAUCCAAAUCCUAAUCCAACCCUAAACUAUAAUCCAAAUCCUAAAUCCUAAACCAAACCUUAAAUCAAACCCUAACCAAAUCUUAGUCCAAAAUCUAAUCCAAAUCAUAAAUCAAA